RNAcentral lists this transfer RNA (92 nucleotides) under Acidobacteriota bacterium. RNAcentral describes it as "Acidobacteria bacterium (groundwater metagenome) tRNA-Ser". It matches the Rfam family "tRNA". From Rfam's summary of the family: Transfer RNA (tRNA) molecules are approximately 80 nucleotides in length. RNAcentral also lists the same sequence under 1 other name. The record is from RNAcentral. Lineage: Bacteria; Pseudomonadati; Acidobacteriota.
GGAGAGAUGGGAGAGUGGCUUAAUCCAACGGUUUGCUAAACCGUCGUACGGGUUAAACUGUACCGGGGGUUCGAAUCCCCCUCUCUCCGCCA